This is a long non-coding RNA of Bactrocera latifrons, 1453 nucleotides long. RefSeq lists it as uncharacterized. The record is from RefSeq and is a predicted model, not a curated record. The transcript is spliced from 7 exons. Lineage: Eukaryota; Metazoa; Arthropoda; Insecta; Diptera; Tephritidae.
AUUUUAAAAUGUAUGUAGUUUAUAUUUGUGUAUAAAAUAAAGUUUGAGUCUGCUACAGUGUUACAGUGUAAAGUGAUAAAAUAGUGGUAUUUGUGAACAGUUGCCCAAAAGAUUAUUCUCUUCGUGGAAAAGGAAGUAGUGCUGACCUCUAAUAGCUUUCUUGAGCGCCUUGGCCGGAGGAAAACGUAGCACGACGGAGCUAAUAACGGUGUCUGCGUUGCCUGCAUGUCUUUUGGGACGCUGUGUCGGAAGCAAGCGCUUUAAUAUUAUAUUUUAAAGAAGCGGUACACAACAACACAUUUGCGUUACUUCGCUUGCAAAUCAAUUAUAAUGUUCUAAUGUAAUAAAAGUUUAAUGCAUCGAUAAAGUGGAAAUUCGCAAUUUUUCCCUGCCACCGUCAGCCCGCCUCGGCGCCGCUCGUCAAGUUUUCGCCUGGAAACAAAAGAAUCUGCAAUACUUACGCUUAAUGUUCGGGGAUAACGAGUAGCAUAAAAAAUGUCGGAUUUCAAGUUGGAGCAGCAAAGAUUUAUUCAUGGACAAGUGAUGAAGUACAUCGGAUGCGGCUGACUGCGAAAUUAUCUACGCGCGUGGAGCGGAUGGGGCAGAUCGCAGUGGUUACGGUAAAUAGUGUAACAGGCGAAGCCGUAUAAUUUCUGAAAGUAACGAGAAGUAAUCAAACUGGCAUGACACUCAUUGGAAAAUAAAGUUAAAAUAACAAAAAUGAAAGCAAGAAUUAUUUACGACGAGCUGAAGUUGGAAGGAGGAGUGGAAUAGACAACAGUAACAAACUCGACUAGAUAACGCCUGAGAGCAAAAAAAGAACAUUGUACUGGAAGGAAACUCAUUGGCAACAAAAGAUAAAGCAACAAAACUUAAAGGAAAAUGUAUUAACGCGCAAUCUGAAGUUAGAAAGAGGGUGGGGGAGGAGCCGUGGUUGAAUUUUCAAGCGUUGAAAAUGUCUUGCCUUGGUUUCAGACAGUUGAAAGUGAAGGCAAGGGUGCUACAGUAGUUCUCCCACGAAUGCGGGUCUAAGUAAACCGAACGAACUGAGAUUUUGAUUCGACCAAGAACUGUUAAGUCGGCAGCAUGCUUCGAAUUACUUCAGCAAAGUUUUCUGAUGUCACACAGCAGCAACUAUUUCUGCUUAUUCAAAGUAUAGAAGGAUACAUAGCAUCGCUUCUACGACAGUCGGCUCUACGUAAUCUGUAGGGACCCGGAUUUUUAUCAUUUUUAUCCAGCCAAUGAUUGUCAUCUCAGCAGCAUGCCCCAAAUCACUUCAGUGCUGCUACAGAUACAAGAUUUUUCUCUAAAGCGCUGCCCUGGUGUACUGCAAACCGAAAUACUUACCAAGAGCGACAUUUUUAGACUUGCUAUUUACUUACUUUUCAACCAUUGUUAACAUAUAAUUGCACUAAAUUCUUAAUAAAAAUAAAAAUAUAUAUUACUGAAAAGU